AACGAACGCUGGCGGCGCGCCUAAUACAUGCAAGUCGAGCGAGAAGACGUAGCAAUACGUUUGUAAAGCGGCGAACGGGUGAGGAAUACAUGGGUAACCUACCCUCGAGUGGGGAAUAACUAGCCGAAAGGUUAGCUAAUACCGCGUACGCUCCUUGGACUUCGGUUCAGGGAGGAAAGCGAUACCGUGGGUAUCGCGCUCAUGGAUGGGCUCAUGUCCUAUCAGCUUGUUGGGAGGUAACGGCUCACCAAGGCUUCGACGGGUAGCUGGUCUGAGAGGACGAUCAGCCACACUGGCACUGCGACACGGGCCAGACUCCUACGGGAGGCAGCAGUAAGGAAUAUUGCGCAAUGGGCGAAAGCCUGACGCAGCGACGCCGCGUGGGGGAUGAAGGUCUUCGGAUUGUAAACCCCUUUCGAUCGAGACGAACGGCCUCCGGGUGAAUAAUCCGGAGGAGUGACGGUACCGAGAGAAGAAGCCCGGC
Molecule: ribosomal RNA, 484 nt
Filed under: uncultured bacterium
Lineage: Bacteria
Description: bacterial SSU rRNA
Rfam family: Bacterial small subunit ribosomal RNA
Source: RNAcentral